GAUGAACGCUGGCGGCGUGCCUAACACAUGCAAGUCGAGCGGGGAUUUGGAAGGCGCUUGCGCCUUCUGAAUUCUAGCGGCGGACGGGUGAGUAACGCGUGGGUAACCUGCCUUAUACAAGGGAAUAACAAUGAGAAAUCAUUGCUAACGCCCUAUAAGCUCACAGCUUCGCAUGAAGCGGGGAGAAAAUGUUUACAGGUAUAAGAGGGGCCCGCGGCUGAUUAGCUAGUUGGCGGGGUAACGGCCUGCCAAGGCGACGAUCAGUAGCCGACCUGAGAGGGCGAUCGGCCACAUUGGGACUGAGACACGGCCCAAACUCCUACGGGAGGCAGCAGUGGGGAAUAUUGCACAAUGGGCGCAAGCCUGAUGCAGCAACGCCGCGUGAAGGACGAAGGGUUUCGGCUCGUAAACUUCUUUAAGCGGGGACGAAGAAAAUGACGGUACCCGCAGAAUAAGCGCCGGCUAACUACGUGCCAGCAGCCGCGGUAAUACGUAGGGCGCGAGCGUUAUCCGGAAUGACUGGGUGUAAAGGGUGAGUAGGCGGUCUGGCAAGUCAUAUGUGAAAUCCCCGGGCUUAACCCUGGGACUGCAUAAGAAACUGCCGGGCUGGAGUGCGGGAGAGGUAAGCGGAAUUCCUGGUGUAGCGGUGAAAUGCGUAGAUAUCAGGAAGAACACCAGUGGCGAAGGCGGCUUACUGGACCGUUACUGACGCUGAGUCACGAAAGCGUGGGGAGCGAACAGGAUUAGAUGCCCUGGUAGUCCACGCCGUAAACGAUGAGCGCUAGGUGUCGGGUCGAGAGAUUCGGUGCCGCAGCUAACGCAAUAAGCGCUCCACCUGGGGAGUACGGUCGCAAGAUUGAAACUCAAAGGAAUUGACGGGGGCCCGCACAAGCGGUGGAGCAUGUGGUUUUAAUUUCGAAGCAACGCGAAGAACCCUUACCAAGGCUUGACAUGGAGAA
Molecule: ribosomal RNA, 959 nt
Filed under: uncultured bacterium
Lineage: Bacteria
Description: bacterial SSU rRNA
Rfam family: Bacterial small subunit ribosomal RNA
Source: RNAcentral